Molecule: ribosomal RNA, 301 nt
Filed under: uncultured bacterium
Lineage: Bacteria
Description: partial 16S ribosomal RNA
Rfam family: Bacterial small subunit ribosomal RNA
Source: RNAcentral
CAGUAGCCGCGGUAAUACGAGGGGUGCAAGCGUUAUUCGGAUUGAUUGGGUGUAAAGGGUGUGCAGACGGCUUAUUAAGUCACUUGUUAAAUUCUUCGGCCUAACUGAGGGUCUGCAAGUGAUACUGAAGAGCUAGAGGGUGGAAGAGAGAAGUGGAAUUCUCGGAGUAGCGGUAAAAUGCGUAGAUCUCGAGAGGAACACCAAUGGCGAAGGCAGCUUCCUGGUCCAUUCCUGACGUUCAUACACGAAAGCGUGGGGAGCAAACAGGAUUAGAUACCCGCGUAGUCCCUGUCUCUUAUAC